UACAAAGAAGGAUGGGGAUCGCAGAAGUCACAUUUUGUGAGAUGGAGCCAGCCGCACUGGGUGCCUCCUGGUGAUGUCUAAAGUAGACUACACUUCCCAGCUUAACUUGAACCACGUGGAUGCUGUUAUUAAUUCAGGUCAAUGGCAUGUGAGCAGAACAGGUGCAUGUCAUUUCCAGACCUGGCCUCUAAAAUGUUCCAUGAGCCCUUUGGCUCCAAUGGUCCAAAGGAAGAAGCCUGGAUCCCUGAAUCACUGCUUAAAGAAAAGGGACUUCGAGAUGACCAGACCUGCAUGCCAGCCUCUAGCUUGAACACCCACCUUUGCUGCGCCUCGGGGCCUGCAGUCUGCGGUGCUCUUAGCCACAGAUGGCAACUAUUUUUAGGAGAGCCUGCUGAGAAGAAGAAUCAUGGAAAUGGUAAGUGCUCCCUGAGACCUCCCCAGAAGCCAAGUGAUGUUGGUGCCAUGCUUAUACAGCCUACAGAACUACAAGCCAAUUAAACCUCCUCUGUAAAAAAUGUAAAUUAUCCAAUCUCAGGUAUUUCUUCAUAGCAAUGCAAUAAUGGCCUAAUACACCCUAUGUCUUAUUUAUUAAUACCUUGAUAAUAAGCAGUAGAUACAAAUUCAGAAUAUCACGGAUACCUUGGAAUGGGAUUUGGGGGCUAGAGAGGGGUUUAUUUUAACCAGUUAUUUUACUUUUAAAAAUUGUGAAACAAAUUUCCCAAAGUUUUGGGAUUUGACAAAAGUGGAUAGGAAUUACACAAGUUACUACUAAAUUUUCUCUAUAUUUUUCUUAUUGUCUAAAGUGUGUAUGAUAGUGACAAAGAAAUGCUGAAUGGAACAAAAGAGAGUAGACACUGUGGGUAUAGACAAUCCUUUGACAGCAUUUGGCUAUAAAGGAAUGGAGAAAAUUUGUAUUGGAAAGAUAGGCAUCAAAGGAAAGUUUAUCUUUUAGUUUUGUUUUAAUUUUUAAUGUUGGUGAUAGUGCAGGUUAUGUGCCUCCUAAAGAAAAUUAUCCAGCUGAGAGGGAGAAUUUAAAGAUGCAUGAUCAAGACAUAAUAACUCGAGAGUUAAAGUCCCUGAGGAGAGGAGAGGCAGAGUGUCCCAGGACACUUGUGAAGAUCUGGCCUUUAGUAGAAGAAGAGAAACUAGGUUAAUUAGCCUGGGCAAGGCCCCAGUCAUAAUUACAAAAAUGUAUAAAAUUAUCUUUGUGACUGAGGUCUGAAAUAUGAGAUUCAAAAUCCAUUGUUGUAACACAAAAUGGAAACAUAGAGUUAUUUUCAUAUGUUACAACUACAUCUCAUUUAAAUGAUUUUACUAGAACAUGAAAUUUGGAGAGUACGGGUCUAUGUCCUGACCUCUUUUAUUCAGAAAACCAGACUUUAGUAGGUAAAUUUCAUUCAAUCAUGGUUUAGCUACCCUGAAGGCAGAGGCAUGACUACUUAGAAUUUUAUUAUUGUGAAAUGUCAGUGUACAAAGCAUAAUAGAAAAUGACACCUCAUAACAAAGGAUUCUAGGUAAUUUUAUGCUUUAUUUUUCCCCAAAAGCAGCAUGAAUACCAUGUCUCUAAGUUAAAGCACAGCUGUACUGAUGUAAGAUGGUGGGCAGGAUGCUGAAAGACAUCAUCUUGUCAUGAUUUCCCUGUAAUGAUCUUUCUUCUCAGAGAUAAUUCAAUAGUUACAAUCCCAUUGUCUGUCAAGUAGAAAUAUAUUCCCCUUAAGUAGCCAUAAUUUUAUUAUCUUCCCUGUGAAUCAAUUCUUCAGAAUGUUGCUUCUCUCAGAAAUGUUUUCUAGUAAUCCUACCAU
RNAcentral lists this long non-coding RNA (1802 nucleotides) under Homo sapiens (human). RNAcentral's name for it is "HSALNT0272218". The record is from RNAcentral. Lineage: Eukaryota; Metazoa; Chordata; Mammalia; Primates; Hominidae.